UCUCUUUAAAAUGUAAAAUAUAAAAUAAAUGCCAAAAUUACUAAAUCAUAAAAUGUACUUAAUCUCAAUUUCAGAAUGUAAAAGUCUCAAAAUAAAAGUUUCUCAAAAGUAUAAUUUUCUAAAGUUAAAUUAUGAGUCAGAGAUAAAUUUUGUCUCACACUACACAGUCAACUGGUAGACUGGUAGACAGUCUUAUAGGGCCAGUAUAAUGACAUGAGUAGUGUGAGGUUACGCUUCCGAAACACUGACUGCUAUCUUAAAAAUUCCCAAAAAUAAAAGGUGAGUCAAAAAUACAUUUUUGUCUAAACACUACAAAGUCAACUAGUAGACUGAUCAACAGUCUUACAGAUCCAGUAUAAUAGACUUUAGUAGUGAAAGGUUAGGUUUCCGAAAGGUGACUGCUUUUCCAAAAUUUCACAAUGAUAUUUAUACUAAAACACAAAAUAACUCAACAUGACACGAGAUGUUAAUAUUACUCUCAUUAGUAAAA
Molecule: long non-coding RNA, 490 nt
Filed under: Mytilus galloprovincialis (Mediterranean mussel)
Lineage: Eukaryota; Metazoa; Mollusca; Bivalvia; Mytilida; Mytilidae
Source: RNAcentral